This 465-nucleotide ribosomal RNA is filed under the name Vreelandella stevensii. RNAcentral describes it as "partial 16S ribosomal RNA". It matches the Rfam family "Bacterial small subunit ribosomal RNA", at positions 338 to 795 of the family's 1533-position model. The record is from RNAcentral. Lineage: Bacteria; Pseudomonadati; Pseudomonadota; Gammaproteobacteria; Oceanospirillales; Halomonadaceae.
CCUACGGGGGGCUGCAGUGGGGAAUAUUGGACAAUGGGCGAAAGCCUGAUCCAGCCAUGCCGCGUGUGUGAAGAAGGCCUUCGGGUUGUAAAGCACUUUCAGUGGGGAAGAAAGCCUUGGGGCUAAUACCCUCGAGGAAGGACAUCACCCACAGAAGAAGCACCGGCUAACUCCGUGCCAGCAGCCGCGGUAAUACGGAGGGUGCGAGCGUUAAUCGGAAUUACUGGGCGUAAAGCGCGCGUAGGCGGUCUGAUAAGCCGGUUGUGAAAGCCCCGGGCUCAACCUGGGAACGGCAUCCGGAACUGUCAGGCUAGAGUGCAGGAGAGGAAGGUAGAAUUCCCGGUGUAGCGGUGAAAUGCGUAGAGAUCGGGAGGAAUAACAGUGGCGAAGGCGGCCUUCUGGACUGACACUGACGCUGAGGUGCGAAAGCGUGGGUAGCAAACAGGAUUAGAUACCCGGGUAGUC